AAGCACGUUGUCAGCAAUAACAACCCAAGAUUACUGACUAACCUACUAUAAAUAGAACUUUUACGCAUGCUGUCAAGGUUUAGUAUAUAAGGUAAGUCUUAUUAGUCACAGUUACACAGGUAUAAAGUCAGGCUUCACCAUGGCAGAAGCAAACAGUCCGUCUACCUCUGAUUGUGAAAACACCGAAGUUCCACAGGAAGAUUCCACAACAAUGGCUGAGACAAAUUGUCCGACUGGCAUGGACCGAUUUCUGCAGAAAACCAGAAGCGACCUCAUGUACGAGCUCAGACAGAUUCAACAUGGAGAGCGCCCAGUCAGUGGCCAGAAUCGGCGAGAAAACAUCAACCAGUUUUUCGCCAAGCACCUUGAGGCACCUGCUGGGAGUGAAGGGAAAGAAAACGUCCCCGCCAAUGUUGACGCUGUUGAAGAGCACAGACCAGAGUCAGUCGUCGUUGAAGUUGAGGGUUUGUUCGAACAACGGCGCGUGUCGUCAGUGUUGCAGUCAACAGCAUUCAGGCGAUCUUUGGAAAGAAUAAUUCGAGGGAGCAUCACAACAGCAUCCCAAAGACCCCAAGCCACCCCAUCUCGUUCUGCCACCCCCUCUCGUUCUGCCACCCCCUCUCAUCUCCCCCCACAUCGUAGAACAAGCAGGGGACAAGAACAGAGUUCAGAGAACGGUCCAUCUACAGCAUCUACAGAUCAGGAUUCAAGAGUUCCAUCACCUCCCGAGAUGAGGCUUACACCCCCCGCUGCCUCACCAACCAGCCAGCCGACGGGCAUUGUUGCUCCUAAUGAGAUGCCCACAUGGCAGAGUAUCUCGGAGAUCCAUCAUGAAGAGAUCGUCCAGGAGAUCAGUCAGCUCCUUCAUAGACGACUUGUGUCCUCGACACUGGAUGGGGAGUUCCGUGGAACUCUGGAAGUGCAAAUGCAGAACCACGUGGAUUCAUCGGGAGGAAAUGGGGAGGCCGUGGCCCAGGCCGUCCGCAGUCUGCCCAACCCCGGUGUCAUCCGCAAUGACUUCAGCCAUCUUGGUCUUGGGCAGGAUUUGUUUGAGGACAACAUUUCCGUCACCAGCAUCAGUGCCACGGCUGUUCCAUACACACAGAGCAACCUACAUCUAAGCAGAGAGAUCUCAAGUCUCAAGUCUCAGAUGGAGGAGAUGAAAAACAUGCUGAAACUCUCCUUUGACCUUCAACUUGACAUACAGAGGGCAAUCAGACAGGAAGUCGCUGCUGCUGUAUCCCAGGCAACAGCAGGAGCUACAGCUGCCCCCCCUGCAACAGCCACACUGUCCCACCCCGUCAGUGACACCCACUGUUUGAUCUGCCUGGAGAACCACAGCGAUACUGUACUCUACCAGUGUGGACACAUGUGCCUGUGUUACGCCUGUGGUAAACAUCUGAUGUCCCAGAGCGGCAAGUGCCCCGUGUGCCGAGCACCAAUCAAAGACAUCAUCCGCGCUUACAAGUGCAACACUGAGUGAAACUGACGUUCUUUUUUACUGGAACCUUGUCAAGCGAACAUUUCAGAAUACAGAAUAUCGCUGUUUGAACAAAUAUUUAGCCCACCUGAGCUAAUGACAUGGCAUAUCAUCGAUUUUUAACUUGCGUAAAGCUUACGAUACCCAAACUUAAAUUGGAUGAUUCAAAUAUGGUGGCUACCUAAUUCUGAUUCAAGUUAAGACAUGACCAGUCUUUUGUUGCCUAGUCUGGUUAACAGCUUGUCCACAUACUCCAACUAAAUUUCCUUUUGUUGCAUGAUUCAUGUUGCUUUUAAGCUCAUAUUCACUGGAUACAUUUUCUUUUGUAAAUACUCACCCCAGUCAAUUCAUCAACAAGAUCAUCAAAGAAUUACCUUCAUCAAGUUUUGAAGAUCAGAUGGUAACAGAAUCCCAGUACAUGCUGUUGGUCUUGACUGUGUUGGUCUUAGCAGGUCAGAUAACCCCUGACUGUGUUGGUCUUAUCAGGUCAGAUAACCCCUGACUGUGUUGGUCUUAUCAGGUCAGAUAACCCCUGACUGUGUUGGUCUUAUCAGGUCAGAUAACCCCUGACUGUGUUGGUCUUAUCAGGUCAGAUAACCCCUGACUGUGUUGGUCUUAUCAGGUCAGAUAACCCCUGACUGUGUUGGUCUUAUCAGGUCAUAACCCCUGACUGUGUUGGUCUUAGCAGGUCAGAUAACCCCUGACUGUGUUGGUCUUAUCAGGUCAGAUAACCCCUGACUGUGUUGGUCUUAGCAGGUCAGAUAACCCCUGACUGUGUUGGUCUUAUCAGGUCAGAUAACCCCUGACUGUGUUGGUCUUAGCAGGUCAGAUAACCCCUGACUGUGUUGGUCUUAGCAGGUCAGAUAACCCCUGACUGUGUUGGUCUUAGCAGGUCCAGAUAACCCCUGACAGUGUUGGUCAUUGUCCAUGCUUUCAGACACUAGUUUUCCUGGUCGGGACACUUUUUUAUAUUCGGCAAUCAUAUAGCUCGGACAGUGCUGCCUGGUGAUAUAGUACAUUAACUCACUCACUCUACUAUAGCUCAACCAAGUGCAGACCAGCAGGUCAGUGUUUAAAAUGGUGAUAUUCUGCUGCUCAAGUCAAGAGAUAGCUGGCUAUCGUGACAUUUUUGUAAAUAAUCACACAAGUUGUCAUUUAUUUGUUUUAUGUAUAUAUAUGUACAUUUAUAUUUCUCACAAUAAAGUCACAUUCUAUAA
Molecule: unclassified non-coding RNA, 2697 nt
Filed under: Haliotis rufescens (red abalone)
Lineage: Eukaryota; Metazoa; Mollusca; Gastropoda; Lepetellida; Haliotidae
Description: uncharacterized LOC124150929, transcript variant X1
Source: RNAcentral